UUUACUUAAAUUUGGUUUAUGUUGCAGUCUCAGGUGUAUGCUGAACCUUAAGCUGCUUCUCAAGUAUUCUGGAGAAUCUUUUUUACGGGUCCAUACACCGUGACAUGGGAUAAUUGCGAUCCAUGUCGGGGCCCUAAGUCUUUGAACGCGACGUAUUACACUACAGAACUUGUGAAAGAACCCAACGGCUCUUUCAGAUACAUUAUCAACAUAACAUACAUAGACAAUGUGUAUGUUGAUGAAAUAAAAAUCCGAGUGUACACAGUGAAGGAUGGCAAAAAGAACAUACUGUGGAACGUGAACAUCAAUAAGCCAUGUUCACACUACAUGAUGGCCGCUAUGCUAGAGACAUACUUUGGCUCAAAAAACUGCUUGAUA
This is a long non-coding RNA of Bicyclus anynana (squinting bush brown), 378 nucleotides long. RefSeq lists it as uncharacterized. NCBI's taxonomy places the organism in Eukaryota, Metazoa, Arthropoda, Insecta, Lepidoptera, Nymphalidae. The transcript is spliced from 3 exons. The record is from RefSeq and is a predicted model, not a curated record.